GGGUUGUGAGGUUAAGCGACUAAGCGUACACGGUGGAUGCCCUGGCAGUCAGAGGCGAUGAAGGGCGUGCUAAUCUGCGAUAAGCGCCGGUAAGGUGAUAUGAACCGUUAUAACCGGCGAUACCCGAAUGGGGAAACCCAGUGUGACUCGUCACACUAUCAUUAACUGAAUCCAUAGGUUAAUGAGGCGAACCGGGGGAACUGAAACAUCUAAGUACCCCGAGGAAAAGAAAUCAACCGAGAUUCCCCCAGUAGCGGCGAGCGAACGGGGAGGAGCCCAGAGCCUGAAUCAGCAUGUGUGUUAGUGGAAGCGUCUGGAAAGGCGCGCGAUACAGGGUGACAGCCCCGUACACAAAAGCGCAUGUGCUGUGAGCUCGAUGAGUAGGGCGGGACACGUGGUAUCCUGUCUGAAUAUGGGGGGACCAUCCUCCAAGGCUAAAUACUCCUGACUGACCGAUAGUGAACCAGUACCGUGAGGGAAAGGCGAAAAGAACCCCGGCGAGGGGAGUGAAAAAGAACCUGAAACCGUGUACGUACAAGCAGUGGGAGCACCCUUUGGGUGUGACUGCGUACCUUUUGUAUAA
This 583-nucleotide ribosomal RNA is filed under the name Salmonella enterica. RNAcentral's name for it is "partial 23S ribosomal RNA". It matches the Rfam family "Bacterial large subunit ribosomal RNA", at positions 1 to 615 of the family's 2925-position model. Lineage: Bacteria; Pseudomonadati; Pseudomonadota; Gammaproteobacteria; Enterobacterales; Enterobacteriaceae. The record is from RNAcentral.